UGGGGAAUCUUGCGCAAUGGGCGAAAGCCUGACGCAGCAACGCCGCGUGGGGGACGAAGGCUUUCUGAGUUGUAAACCCCUUUCAGCAGGGACGAUUGUGACGGUACCUGCAGAAGAAGCACCGGCCAACUACGUGCCAGCAGCCGCGGUGAUACGUAGGGUGCAAGCGUUGUCCGGAUUUAUUGGGCGUAAAGAGCUCGUAGGCGGUUCGAUAAGUCGGAUGUGAAACCCCCAGGCUCAACCUGGGGCCGCCAUUCGAUACUGUCGUGACUAGAGUCCGGUAGGGGACCAUGGAAUUCCUGGUGUAGCGGUGAAAUGCGCAGAUAUCAGGAGGAACACCAGCAGCGAAGGCGGUGGUCUGGGCCGGUACUGACGCUGAGGAGCGAAAGCGUGGGGAGCGAACAGGAUUAGAUACCCCCGUAGUCC
This 426-nucleotide ribosomal RNA is filed under the name uncultured bacterium. Its description in RNAcentral is "bacterial SSU rRNA". It matches the Rfam family "Bacterial small subunit ribosomal RNA", at positions 355 to 796 of the family's 1533-position model. The record is from RNAcentral.